GGCCAGCCUGAACUACAUAGUAAAACCCCGUCUGCAAACAAAAUGUUUUCAAGGAUUAUAUUCCCUGUGUUUCUUUGAUCUUUUGGAGGAAUAAAACUGUUCAGGCAAGAGAGAAUUCUCCGUCUGAUUUGCUUCGAGUGGACUUGCACUCCUGUAUAUCAUUGAGAUUCCUCUGUGCAAGCUGUGCCUCACUAGAGAUGAACAAGAGGAAGAGUCCAUGGAGUGGAGUGUUUGAAAGCAAGCAGUCAGCACACAGAGUGACCAGACUGUUGGGGAUGUAGCACCAGGAAUGGCUGAGACUAGAGCGCCAUGCACGGCUGGAAGUACAGAACAGAGGGCUGGAAGGUCCCGGGGCCUGGCUGGCCCUCCACAUAGGGAUACUGUUGUGCUUUGGAUCUGUAACGUCCUCCCAAAGCCCCACGCACGCGAGGUGGGGCUUGGGAAGGCGAUUGGGUUACAGGUGAUCCAGCUGGCUUGCUGUUAGGAGGUGGGUCAGCAGGGGGCCAGUUUGGUUCCCUCUGGUCACCUCUGCCUUGCUGACUGCAAGGAUACACUUGGAUGGGCGCCUCUUCCUCCUGGUUCCUCCCUUUGCUCUCUGCUUCUUGGCUGCCAUGACAAGCAGCUUUCCUCCAAGGCAGGCCCUCCCACUGUCAUUUCCUGUUUGGAGCCUGCGGACCAUGGGCUGAAACUUCUGGAACUGUGAGCCAGUAUAAGUUGUAUUUAAGUUGUAGAUGUCCUUUAAGUCGUAGAUGCCAAAUAUCGUGUCUCAAAAAUGAGGGGAAAAAAACAUUAGAGUGAGCCAAAGAGUGUGAGGAGCCAUUCUACAUAAUUUCGGGGAAAAAUCAUUUCAUAGUCGAACUAUGAUUAGGGCCGUCUGAGGCCUAGUCUUCUCGCCACGGGCCGGCUAUGGCAUGAGGAAACAUAACUCCUCUUUGCCUCUGGACACAGCUGAGGCCUUAAUGGUCCCUCAAUGCUGUGAAACUCAAGGGCAAGAUUAUAUCAGCUGAAGACAUCCUGGUUCUUUGAGAAUUUAGUGGUAAUAAAAAAAAAAGAGUGGUUUCACCUGGGGAGGGACAAAUUCCUUAUUGGUUUAACCACUUACUGUUAGGAGAAUGUUUUGCUCAUCUCACCGCCCUAAUCAAUUUAACCCUCAUCAACCUAAGAUCUUCAUCAGCAUAAGCUCCUCCUCCUCAUAGGGUUACCGCCACCCUCUGGAUCCUCUGAUACUCCCUGCAAUUAUUGCAUGAACCCCAUAAAUAGAGCCCUACCUAGCAACAGGGAGUCAGAAAGGAAUGGGCACCACCCCAGUGACAGCAGGCAUAACACAGGCUGCAGAAGGAAGGUCACCAGAGGUGAACAGAUGCCUGCUGACAGCUGGCAGAGGGAGCUUCCAAGGACCAGAGCGAGUGGCAUCUAGCGACAGAGAAUCGGCCCUGCCCCAGAAGAAGCAGGAGCCCACAGCAGUGAAGAGGAUGACAGCUGGCAGAGCUUGCUCGGUGCUUUUCCUUCCUUUCUCUCUCUCUUUUUCUUUCCUUCCUUCCUUCUUUCCCUUCCUUUCUUUCUGUACCAGCGACUGAACUGUGGACCUUGUACUUGCGAUGGGCUUGCUGCUUUUAGACCUCAAUGUAUCAACAGUCAGUGUCUCAAAGUCCCCUCACUCCGUGGCCAAAUCUAACUGUAAAAUCUUCUCCGGCCAGCAGCAACCCUGGUGACAAGAGCACCUCCCCCCGACCUGGCUGCCCGGCUGGCAUGGUGAGGA
Long non-coding RNA from Fukomys damarensis (Damara mole-rat), 1759 nucleotides. RefSeq lists it as uncharacterized. The transcript is spliced from 3 exons. The record is from RefSeq and is a predicted model, not a curated record. NCBI's taxonomy places the organism in Eukaryota, Metazoa, Chordata, Mammalia, Rodentia, Bathyergidae.